RNAcentral lists this ribosomal RNA (327 nucleotides) under uncultured eukaryote. RNAcentral describes it as "partial 18S ribosomal RNA". It matches the Rfam family "Eukaryotic small subunit ribosomal RNA", at positions 1470 to 1796 of the family's 1831-position model. The record is from RNAcentral.
CCCUUAGAUGUUCUGGGCCGCACACGCGCUACACUGAAGGAGGCAGCGUGUACUCCUGGAUCGAAAGAUUUGGGUAACCCGCGAAUCUCCUUCGUGCUAGGGAUUGAGGUUUGCAAUUAUCCUUCAUGAACGAGGAAUUCCCAGUAAGUGCAAGUCAUAAGCUUGCGCUGACUACGUCCCUGCCCUUUGUACACACCGCCCGUCGCUACUACCGAUUGGAUGAUUUAGUGAGGACUUCGGACUGGGACCGAUGCGGCUUUCGGGCUGCGUCGGUAUUCUGGAAAGAUGUCCAAACUGUAUCAUUUAGAGGAAGUAAAAGUCGUAACA